Molecule: ribosomal RNA, 253 nt
Filed under: uncultured bacterium
Lineage: Bacteria
Description: partial 16S ribosomal RNA
Rfam family: Bacterial small subunit ribosomal RNA
Source: RNAcentral
GACAGAGGGGGCAAGCGUUGCUCGGAAUUACUGGGCGUAAAGGGCGCGUAGGCGGGAUGGCAAGUCGGUCGUGAAAUCCUUCGGCUCAACCGAAGAACGUCGAUCGAUACUGCUGUUCUUGAGGGUUGCAGAGGAGACUGGAAUUCCCGGUGUAGCGGUGAAAUGUGUAGAGAUCGGGAGGAACACCGGUGGCGAAGGCGGCCACCUAGCCCGCACCUGACGCUGAGGCGCGACAGCGUGGGGAGCGAACUGG